This 253-nucleotide ribosomal RNA is filed under the name uncultured bacterium. Its description in RNAcentral is "partial 16S ribosomal RNA". It matches the Rfam family "Bacterial small subunit ribosomal RNA", at positions 524 to 776 of the family's 1533-position model. The record is from RNAcentral.
UACGGAGGGGGCGAGCGUUGUUCGGAUUUACUGGGCGUAAAGGGCGCGCAGGCGGCUAUCCAAGUCAGGCGUGAAAGCCCCGGGCUUAACCUGGGAGGUGCGUCUGGGACUGGGUGGCUAGAGUUCGGGAGAGGAGAGUGGAAUUCCCAGUGUAGAGGUGAAAUUCGUAGAUAUUGGGAAGAACACCGGUGGCGAAGGCGGCUCUCUGGACCGAGACUGACGCUGAGGCGCGAAAGCGUGGGGAGCAAACAGG